RNAcentral lists this long non-coding RNA (3318 nucleotides) under Equus asinus (donkey). RNAcentral describes it as "lncRNA (ENSEASG00005027349.1)". The record is from RNAcentral. Lineage: Eukaryota; Metazoa; Chordata; Mammalia; Perissodactyla; Equidae.
AUGACAGUAAAAAUUCUCAUGAGAUGGACAGUUUCCAGAAUUUCCCCAUUUUCAAACCAGUACAGUAAAUGACAUUGGGGCCUCUGAGUGAAAGCAAUGGUUGAUUUCUUAUUUUUAUUUUCAGGGGUGUGUAUCCCACCAAAGUCUGGGGGAGUUUAAUUUGCCUGGGACACCUUUGGCAAGGGUACCAGGCACCAGCCUAAGCUCUCACUCUCAUUUCCAGACUAAGGGCCUCCUGUGACCUGUAGCUGGGAGCCACAGGGAAUGGCAGCAGCCUUCUCUGAGGCCAAGGACAAGUAUACACUUGGGCUCUGCCUCAGGCUGCCCUGGCCUCUUCUCUCCCUGUGGGCCUCACUGGAUGUCUGUACACCCAGCCUUCACUGCCUUGCCUCCUGGUGUUCUCUGCUUGUGCAAGGAAGGCACAGGAGGAAGGAGUCCAGCCAUGCAAAAGGUUCCUUUCAGCCCUUCCCAUACUGACUACAAGUAGCUGUCGAGAGGUUAGAAUAAGGCUUGUAGACGAGAGGAGUCUGUAUCUGGAAAUCUUUUACUACCCUAAGUUGAAAAGUUUAAUAAUUUUAAUUCAAAGUUGAGACCCUGUUGAGAGAACUCCAUUAGUAUUUAUGACUGUGGCCUUCUCAUUGAAGGGUCUGUUCGACUUUGGAAUGCCAAAGCAGGACCCUCUGUUCUUCUGUGAGUUAUGAAAUCCUGUAUUUCUUUAGAAGUAUUUCAUUUUGUGUAAUGAAGUCAAAGGUCAGAGUGACUCAGUGUUCCAUGAACUGGGUGUUUUUGUAGAAUGAGCAGUAAAUUUAUCUCCUAACCAGGCUGGGUUAAUUAAAAUUACACUGCCUGUCUCUGGCAAUCAUCAGGAAAGGAUAUUCUGUUUCUUAUUUUAUUCCUAAGGCUUUUAAUUUUUUAUUAUUAUUUUUUUAACUACUGUGUUCCUGCCAGAUUUGAUGAGCGUGACAUAGCCCAGGCACAUCCCUGGAGUGUGCAAUGUUUUUGGCUCUUCAGAUGCUGAUAGAGAUGUGGCUACACAGGGUGGAUGUGGGAGGUUUAUUGGCCUAGGGCCCAGAGAGCCACCUAGGGGCUCCUCCCUCUGAUACAAUUCCAGCUGUCUGAGGAUGGAAAUCAAGUCAGCUGCAGCACCUAAUUGUCCUGACAUUCGAGUAUCAGUUUGUCACCUAUAGAGGCCUUUUCCUGACCUCUCCUCUUCUGAAGGAACUCUCCCUACUCACUGUCCAUCCCCUUACCCUAUUUUUUCUCAUACAACUCCAUCUGAAAUGAUGUACUAAUGCAUAUACUUGUGUUUUACCAGCCUUGCCAUGUGGAAUAUAAACUCCAGAAGCAAGAGCAGCAUCUGCCUUGUCCCUGCUGUAUCCUCAGCACCCAAGAGAGUGUCUGACACUCUAGUAGACAAUUGAUAAAUACUUAUUGAGGGCAGAGAUUGCUUGCUUUUCAUUCAAACAGCUCCUUGCAGCCCUGUCCUGAAAGUCUGGUCUCUCUAGCAUUCCUUUACAACUUCUCUUUUUCAUGUUUUGUCUCAGAAGCUGCAAAGGGCUCCUGAUGUGGGGUCUCCUGCAAGAUGCCCACUUCUCUCUCCCAGGCCAGCUCCCAGCAACCCCUCUGCACUCAAAGUGCCCAGAAAACAGCAGCCUUUCUGCCCUCAAAAAGAUAGUUACUUCCUGUAAGGGUUGAGCAGGUUUGAAAAUUUUUUCAAGCCAGGCCUUAGGCCAAAACUCUUCAUUAAAUCAGGCAUUUUCCAGCUGGCCUAGCACAGAGAGGCCUUUCCCACUACAGCUGGGACCCAUUGUCAAGUAGAUUUCCUGAGUAAAACUUUGUUCCUUCUAUAAAUAUUUAGCUGGAACGUAAAAUUAAAUUAAUGUUCUCCCACAUACUCCAGGGAGAAAGUAAAUUGCCAGAGCCUCAGAUAGACUCAGGAUGAGAACCUUUUCAGUAAUUGUCUACAAUCAGGUACAGCGGCCUCCUUUGUUGGUAUGCCUCAUUCACUGGUCUUCACAGGCAUGUUAAACGUCUUGUGCCUCAGUUAGAGGAGGUACCACUCUGGUCCCAGGUGAGCCCUGGCCUGGCCAUUCAGGAGGAGGGAGAUUGGCCUGAAUUAGGCUUCUUUUGCAAAUCCUUUUCACCAGUUUCUUUGAACAUUAGCAGUUUACAACUUCUCCAGUGGCAGGAUGGUGCUGCUGCCCUAUUGGCACAUUCCUGGGUGCAAAGGUGAGGAGCACAGGCUCCCGGGUUGUCUGUCUCCUUCUUCCUGAUCCCCUUGGAGUCUUCUCUGGGAUUGGAAGUGGAGGAUCCAGGAGAAUGCCAAGGGGCCAGGGCAGGUAGGUCAGAAGGUGGCUUCCCUCUUCCCCUAGUGAGGGGAACAAGAGGCAGGGGAAGGGGAACCCUGAGAGCCAGAGAUGAGAAGCUGGGCCUUAGUGCCCUAUUGUGCUGGCUGGAGUCAUACGGGGCAGAGGCAUACUAACCAGAAGUGCCCCAAGAGUGCACCUGGCAAGAGUUCAGACUCUUGUCUAGACCCGUGUGGCUAGAUAGCCAUACCCAGGAAUGUGGGGAACACUGCAAUUGUGGACAGAGCUGAAGGUAGGAUUACCAUUCCCAACCCAUGGCCAACUUCGAAUUGUCCUUUUGAUAGGAUUGUUGCUCUGUUCUCAGGCCUCGCCUGUGGCUCUCUAGUCCUUGCUGGAUCUUCACUCAGCCAUUCACUCAUCUCCUUUUUCCGGUCCCUUCUUCCUCAGUCUUCCCCUCCAGCCCCAAUCCUCUCUCCAAGGAGCUUCUACAGAUGAACUUCUGCCUUAAGUAUUGUUACAAAGUCAGCCUACCAGUCUGUAUACAUAGCUGGUUCCUAGGGCUCUGGCACUGACACCAGAGGGAUGCAGCCAGGGGACCUAGAAAUCUCUCCUUAUGGGGCUGCACGGCCCAACUUCGCACAUGCCUUGUGCAAGGGCUUGAAUUUGCAGUUUGCGCCUAGCAGGUUCCAAAGCUCCUAUUUAUUCUUGAAGCUGUCUUGUUUCUAUUUUGAUUCUGCUAAUCCAAACUGCAGUUUGGUGUUUCCACGGAAACAAUUCAGUGAUUGUUUGGCUUGCCAAGAUGAACUGCGGGGGAGAGAACAGAAUGACGUAAAACAUUUUUAGUUUCUCAAAUAUGACUAUCCAUGUCUCCCCGAGAAGUCUCUGGUUCCAGCUCCCUGCAAACCUGAGGAAGUUUUAUUAAAAUAAAUGUUCUAGGUUCCUGUUCUCCCUCCAGCUAAAUCUCUGGAGACCCACUGGCCAAACCCCCCGCUCACAUCUGCCUGAAGCAGAG